This is a non-coding RNA of Camelina sativa (false flax), 453 nucleotides long. NCBI's taxonomy places the organism in Eukaryota, Viridiplantae, Streptophyta, Magnoliopsida, Brassicales, Brassicaceae. The record is from RefSeq and is a predicted model, not a curated record.
ACAGAUCAUAUUCAUAAAUUGAAAGCCUCACAACAGAGCCAACCGACUCUUAUUAAAUUACAAAAGGAAAGAAAACACAGAGGAAGCAAAUAACAUACACAAAGAGGCAUUAUAGAUCCAGUUUUAUUAAACCUCAAAAUAAAACACAAGCAACUUCACCAACAAGAAGCAAGGAGAAGGAAUCAUCUUUAACCCGGGAGUGAAAACUUGGCAAGAGUCUCCUUCCACGCAGGACGGCUGCUAAUAUCAUCCCACCACGCACUCACGUGCUUCCUAUCUUUGAUCAUGUAAGCCUUCCCAAUAGGACCAACCAAGUAAUCAGUGAAGGGGAGGUGAGCCAAAUCAGCCAAACUCACGAAAUCACCGGCCAAGUACUUGCUCUUCGAGAGAUGUGCCUCGUAGACAUCAAGAACAGCGGAUAGUUGCGCUUCACUAUCCUUAAUCACCUUCUCA